UGUUUUAUGGCCUAGCAUAUGGUCUAUUGUAGAGAAUGCUCCACAAGCACUUGAGAGGAACAUGUAUCCUGCUGCUGUUGGGUGCAGUGUUCUGUGGAUAUCUACUAGAUCUAGUUGGUUUUCGAAAAAAAUUAGCCAAACAUUCAAGUGACAGCUUCUGGGAUGGCAAAGCCAUACUGUUAUUAAACUUUCCAAUCUUUUAAACAGUAAGUCCAUUACACUAAUUAUUUCCGAAAUGUUUUUAACUAGAAAAAAUGAAUAUAUAUGAGUCGUGGGCAAUGCAAAGAUGUGGCACCUGCACAGUCAGUUCAGGGGCUGCAAAGCCAGCCACCUCCACUUCGCUAUUCCACACACGAGCAACCCCAGGGAACUCUCUGCUUGUCUCACGUGGGUCUAGAACUGCUACAGAAAAUGUGCUACGCUCAGAUGCUUUGGUUUUUACCUUUCAAUGUUUCCGAGAUUAACUGUGGAGCACAAAAGCACCUAAGCUAUGAGGAACAUUCAAGGAAGUCAGGCAAAGGAUGUAUUUGGCAGUAGCCUUGGUUUAGACAACACAAAAAAAACAAGGUGGAGGGAAGUAAAAUUUAAAUGCUAACAAUGGAAAGCUAAAACAAAUCAUUCUACCUGCAGCACAACCAACAUCCAGUCACUCCGAGUUAUCCGUCCAAAGUACUCAGUCAAGACAUCCAGCCACUCCGAGCUAUCAGUCCAAAGGACUCAGUCAAGACUGUUUCUACAUUUAAAUAGCACGGAGGCAUCAAAGAUGGGGAGGGGGGCAAAUACUUCUUUGUUUCUUGCUCUGCUAAAAAUGUUUAAGCUAAAAUACAAUUGUCUGCUUAAACUGUGGAAUUCAAGGUGAUGGAACAAUGCUCCUUAAUUCAAAAUCUUCAAAUUUAACAUACUUAAAAGUAAUAUGACAGUCGCUGUUUGAAAAGUACAGGCUUUUCUUAAAAAUUACACCAUGCCUAAAGGAAAGAAAAACUAAAAGAAAAGAUUCACCAACACUGGAUGGUUUCAGAAAUUAUGCUACAUGAUCUCAAUAGAGCAUUAUGUACAGAAGGUAGAAAUGAUUUUUAUAAAGAUUUCUUAAUACAAGGAAAAGCCUACAUUGUAAGGUUAAAUGUGGGAAAAAAACAUGAAACAAAAUGUUAUAGAUAAUAUGCACUCGACUAUGUAAAUACAAUGCAUAGAAAACAAGACUUAGAGGAAAUACAGAAAACAGCUGCUUAUGCACAGUGGUACGGCGGCUGCCUGGUGGCCAUACACAGGACAGUAACCCCUGAGUGAGCGCUGAGCGGGCAAGUGCCCCGCACCCUGGCUCAAAGGACGGGCUGGAACCACAGCUCAGGCUCCAAGCUGGAUGAGUCCUUCUUCCUCCCAGCCCAGACCUAGACACUGCGACCCUAGCAACCUAGAGAAGAGACCCAGGCUACCUUCGAGGCCCAGCCCUGGGCGGGGCAAGAGAUGGGGAAGGGCCCAGAUUCACACUGCUUGCCACACAGAGGUGAUACCAUGGUGCCACCCCCAAGGAACUGAAGUAGAGCCCAGGACUCUCCCCAUGCAGAUAGCCACUGGUCUCUUGGGAGCAGAGAAAGUAGAGAGAUCCUUCUCCAGCCCUCCCAGUGUGGCUGUGUGGGAAGAAAGGAUCUUAAUCAAAGGGGAGGCUGCACAGUGAGGAGAUAGGCUUCAAUAAGUCUUCUCAACAGUGGGAUGGCCAAGUAUUUUAAUUGCUUCCUUCAUAACUUAUCUAUAUUUACCAGUAUCUCUAUACUGUUUCUAAAGCUAUGUUUUUACAUUACUCUGUAACGCUGAAGGAACAUACUUCAAAAUAAUAAGAGCCAAUUAUGACAAACCCACAAUCAACAGCACACUGAAUGGACAAAAGCUGGAAGCACUCCCCUUGAAAACCAGAACAAGACAAGGAUGCCCACUCUCAAAACUCCUAUUCAAUAGAGUACUGGAAGUCCUUGCCAAAGCAAUCAGGCAACAGAAAGAAAUAAAAGGCAUUCAAUAGGAAGAGAGGAAAUAAAAGUGUUUGCAAUCAAUACGAUUCUAUACCUAGAAAACCCCAUAGUCUCUGCCCAAAAGCUCCUAGAUCUGAUAGCUUCAGUAAAAUUUUAGAAUACAAAAAUCAAUGUACAAAAAGCAGUAGUAUUUCUGUACACUAACAAUGUCCAAGCUGAGAGCCAAAUCAAGAAUGCAAUCCCAUUUACAACAGCCACAAAAAGAAUAAAAUACCUAGAAAUACAGCUAACCAGGUAACAUAUAAGAUCUCUACAAUGAGAAUUACAAAACACUGCUCAAAAAAAUCAGAGAUGAAUAUACAAAUGGAAAACCAUUCUAUGCUCAUGGAUAGGAAGAAUCACUAUUGUUAAAAUGGCCACACUGCCCAAAGCAAUUUACAAACUCAGUGCUAUUCCUAUUAAACUACCAAUAAAUGACAUUUUUUGCAGAAUUAGGAAAAAAAACUAUUUUAAAAUUCACAAGGAAUCAAAAAAGAACCUGAAUAGCCAAAGCAAUCCAAAGCAAAAAAGAACAAAGCUGGAGGCAUUACAAUAUUCAUGCUUAUGAAUAUACUUGUGAGUACACUUGAAACUAUACUUCAAGGCUACACUAACAAAAACAGCAUGGCACUGGUAACAUGGCACAAUAACAAAAACAGACACACAGACCAAUGGAACAGAAGAGAGAGCCCAGAAAUAAAGCCACACAUUUACAGCCAUCUGAUCUUUGACAAAGUGGACAAAAACAAGCAAUGGAGAAAGGACUCCCUAUUCAAUAAAUGGUGCUGGGAUAACUGGUUAGCCAUACACAGAAGAUUGAAACUAGACCCCUUUGUUAUACCAAAAUCAACUCAAGAUAGAUUAAAGACUUACAUGUAAAACCUAAAACUGUAAACAUCCUGUAAGAUAAUGUAAGGAAAUACCACUCCAGACACAGACCCUGGCAAAGAUUUCAUGACCAAGAUGUCAAAAGCAAUUGCAACAAAAACAAAAAUUAACAAAUG
Molecule: long non-coding RNA, 3007 nt
Filed under: Homo sapiens (human)
Lineage: Eukaryota; Metazoa; Chordata; Mammalia; Primates; Hominidae
Description: non-protein coding lnc-CERK-3:1
Source: RNAcentral